ACCAGACUCCUACGGGAGGCAGCAGUGGGGAAUAUUGCACAAUGGGGGAAACCCUGAUGCAGCAACGCCGCGUGAGUGAAGAAGUAUUUCGGUAUGUAAAGCUCUAUCAGCAGGGAAGAGAAUGACGGUACCUGACUAAGAAGCCCCGGCUAACUACGUGCCAGCAGCCGCGGUAAUACGUAGGGGGCGAGCGUUAUCCGGAUUUACUGGGUGUAAAGGGGGCGCAGACGGCAGCGCAAGCCAGGAGUGAAAGCCCGGGGCCCAACCCCGGGACUGCUCUUGGAACUGCGCGGCUGGAGUGCAGGAGGGGCAGGCGGAAUUCCUGGUGUAGCGGUGAAAUGCGUAGAUAUCAGGAGGAACACCGGCGGCGAAGGCGGCCUGCUGGACCGAAACUGACGUUGAGGCUCGAAAGCGUGGGGAGCAAACAGGAUUAGAUACCCGAGUA
This 445-nucleotide ribosomal RNA is filed under the name uncultured bacterium. RNAcentral describes it as "bacterial SSU rRNA". It matches the Rfam family "Bacterial small subunit ribosomal RNA", at positions 330 to 792 of the family's 1533-position model. The record is from RNAcentral.